CAAAAAGUAGCUUAAAUAAAGCAUUCGAUUAACAACCGAAAUAUAUUGUCGCCGAUCUUUUUGA
RNAcentral lists this transfer RNA (64 nucleotides) under Myriopholis macrorhyncha (longnosed worm snake). Its description in RNAcentral is "tRNA-Val". It matches the Rfam family "tRNA". From Rfam's summary of the family: Transfer RNA (tRNA) molecules are approximately 80 nucleotides in length. Their secondary structure includes four short double-helical elements and three loops (D, anti-codon, and T loops). RNAcentral also lists the same sequence under 1 other name. Lineage: Eukaryota; Metazoa; Chordata; Lepidosauria; Squamata; Leptotyphlopidae. The record is from RNAcentral.